AAGGCUAUUGUUUUCCCCAAAUCACGCCGACAACAAAAUCCCCUUUCUUUAUUGUACUGUUCACUCUACGCGGCUGUGAUUUGGGUAGGGUGGGCAGGGGAGAUCCCAGGAGGACGCGUCAUGCUGCUCGACAUCGUCAUGGCCGGCGCGGCCGGGGCGAUGGUGCUGGAGGUUGGUGGUGCGGAGGAGGCGGUGACUGACCUGACGAAGGGUGCACAGGUUCGCGGAUUUCCCAGCGAUUUGGUGCGUGCCGAUCUUCCAAGCCAUUCUGACCGAGGAGGGGACCGGGCGUUCGAGCAGCUGUUCUUGCUCCGGCCACCAGCGAGACCGGAUCUCGCCGUCGCUGAUAAGGAAAGGCGGAUGCCAGUCGCCUGGGAGGUCACGGGUGCUGGCAGAGAGCUUUGGCGUUGCGUAGAAUGGCCUCUCGUUCCUUGUCGCUUAGGUUGAUGAAGAGCGACAGAUUUCCCAUCCAAUGAGUGUUGAGAGAUCUCAUGGAGGAUGGAGUACCGGUUCAUGGAUUUACUGGACAAAAUUGUUCUACUGGGUCAAGCUGUUGGUGCUAGGGCAUCAAUGCCAAGGUGGCAUAGGACAGAAAAUAAUUGUUGACCAAGGCAAGCUAAUGGAGAAUGACUGGAUCCUGAGGCACAGUACAGAUGGUGGACUACUGCUAUGGUCUAUUAGAGGUGUGGGGGUAACAGAGGCAGAUUCAUAUGAGGAGAUAGCGAAAUAAAUAAAUAGCACCAAGAUGUGAGCAACAUGUUUGGCCGGCCAUUAUGUUGUUGCCCUCCUCAUUGUCGGUGUUGUUGGACUUCUACCAGAUUAACAAUGGAUAUUAUUUUACCGCGCCCUAGAUCCGACUUUUCAUCUUCAUGCCUUCCUAAUUGUUUGUACUGCUGGACUUUUACCACUCUGGGCGUCCUGGUUUUUUCGGCGUGUGUUUGGAUUGAGGCUUUGUUCUGUUGGGCGUCGCAGCGUCGGGAGUGCAUAUUGGAUGCUUCAGUACCUGCAAUCCAUCGUGGGUGCAUAUUGUACUUUAGUACCUUCAAUCCGCCGACGUGACGGACACGUACUGAAUGCUUGCUUCUAUCGUGCUGGCUGGCAAUGGCGGCGUGUGUGUGUUUAUGCUGCUUGGGGGCUGGUCGUCGCUGGCUGGCCAGCAAGUUUCGUAUGGACAUAUGAUACGUGUACGUGUUCUUGUCCAAUUGAAGUUGUGUGUCUGCUAGAAAUCAAUCACGGCAUGCAAAUCAAUUAGGCAAUGCAUGAAUACGUGUCUGUGUGUUUCUCUUGUAUAUGAGGCAUGCAGACUUGACCAAAGCCGGCCGACUGGGUAUGGUCGUGUGUUUUAUGUUCACAUAUUCGUACGUGUCAUGGUUGGCUUUUUUAAUCAACCGUAGUUUUUGUACCAACCAUAGUUGUAUGUAACCUCACCUUACAACGUGACACCAUAAAAGUUCAAUACUACCGGUACAUAUAUUUUAUGAUGUUAUGUAAAAACGCUUAAAUCUUAGCCGUUGUUAUUGUAAUCUAACGGCGUAAAAAAUAUUAGCAUAUGUGGAAGAACGUGAUGGCUUAUUUGACUCUUAUAUAAUAGAUAGAUUGCUUGGCUUGUCAUCGGGGUUGUGCAUGAUGAGAGCAUUUUUGUGUGACGAAAAUGAAGCAUAACCAAUCUAUAUGAUUUUGUAGGGAUAAGCUUUCUUUGGC
Molecule: long non-coding RNA, 1701 nt
Organism: Triticum aestivum (bread wheat)
Lineage: Eukaryota; Viridiplantae; Streptophyta; Magnoliopsida; Poales; Poaceae
Exons: 4
Source: RefSeq, a predicted model, not a curated record